Long non-coding RNA from Actinia tenebrosa (Australian red waratah sea anemone), 1351 nucleotides. NCBI's taxonomy places the organism in Eukaryota, Metazoa, Cnidaria, Anthozoa, Actiniaria, Actiniidae. The record is from RefSeq and is a predicted model, not a curated record.
GGCACGUUUAAGGAGCCUGCGAAAUGAUCGGCGUUUCCAAUGUUUUUCUUGUAGCACGUUUGUAUUCCCGUUAAAGAAUCUCCACGUUACUGGUCGAACAUAACAAUGUACUACGCUGAAAUCAAAUCGCUCUGGAAGUUUUCUCUUGAAACAAGGCCGUGGUGCAUGGCAGGGCCAAGGUAGUUUGGGGCAAGAGGCAAGGAAUGAAUAUCGGGGAAGAUGAUGGGUCAAGGUUGUGCACAGCAACUUACGAAAUAUAAGGUGCUGCACGAUUUCCAAAUCAAGACCUUGGCAGAAUGUGCCCAAUAUUCUCUGGUUGUCAUAAACAAUCCAAAACCUCUUCAACUAAAUCUCUUUCUGGCUUUCUCAACAUCUCAAAUAUUCCACACGUUUAUGAUAAUCUGCUAGGGGAGUACAUGAAAACUUCAAGAAACAUAAAAAAGAUGUUAUCAGACGCUUAUUCCUUUAUUGGGACAUUACUGGUCUGAUUUUGUCAACGUGUUCUUCACUUUUCUUGACUUUGGCGCAAAAAAUGGAUUUAAUCUGAUGAAGUUGCACGACAUGCCGUGUUCUACGUGUUUAAUGGAAGAGUAAUCAUCGAAGUCGCAAAAGUAGUUCCGUGAUUCUACAUUCCUUCUGGCCUACGCACGCAAUUCUUCACAGCAUAACCCUACUUCUCUUGCGUUUUCUUUCCGCCAAUUAUAUUCCUAGACAACUAGUUUUGUCUUUCUGUUUAGUUAAAAAAAACCUACAGGAAAAGCAAAUAAAGGCGAACUUUGUUUAGUUUUAUGCAGACAACACCAGAAUCACGACUGAUCACGUGGCAUGGGCCUGCGUGUCACGUGGACACUGUCUAUGGCCAUGACCUUGGGAAGUGCAGAAAUCCAAAAAGUUUAAACUGAUAAUAACUUCUUUUAAUUCCGCCAGACGUAAAACUGAUACCAUUGGGGAAAACAUUUUGCAGGUCGACAGGUUGUCAGAGUGGCUGAUUGACUCUUAUACUGAAUCUAAUACAAAAAUUUAUAUCUGGUGGAUUCUUGCUCUCCGAAGAUUUGCUUCACCUAUCGUAAUUAACCCAAGGACCCCAACAAGCUCAGUGUGGCUUAUGCAGAAGACAUAACGACGCCGCUCCUUAGAUACCUCCAAGUAGCGGCCCUACUCUUCAAAAGGGUAUACGAUAUCAUGAAGAAUUUUAAAAAGACAAAGAAUGGCUGCAUGCAGUAAUAUAAUCCCAGUGCAAGGCUAGCUUGUCCGGCCCUUGGAAAACAAACAGGAAACGCGAUUCUGAAUAACCUCAAUCGACUCAUUUCCAUCUACAGCCUUCAAUAUUAAAUAUAGAUAAGACUUUAAA